This 636-nucleotide ribosomal RNA is filed under the name Vermiculariopsiella immersa. RNAcentral describes it as "eukaryotic LSU rRNA". It matches the Rfam family "Eukaryotic large subunit ribosomal RNA", at positions 40 to 701 of the family's 3401-position model. Lineage: Eukaryota; Fungi; Ascomycota; Sordariomycetes; Vermiculariopsiellales; Vermiculariopsiellaceae. The record is from RNAcentral.
AUAUCAAUAAGCGGAGGAAAAGAAACCAACAGGGAUUGCCCCAGUAACGGCGAGUGAAGCGGCAACAGCUCAAAUUUGAAAUCUGGCCCUCGGGUCCGAGUUGUAAUUUGUAGAGGAUGCUUUUGGCGCGGUGCCUUCUGAGUUCCCUGGAAUGGGACGCCAGAGAGGGUGAGAGCCCCGUAUAGUCGGACACCAAGCCUUUGUAAAGCUCCUUCGACGAGUCGAGUAGUUUGGGAAUGCUGCUCAAAAUGGGAGGUAAAUUUCUUCUAAAGCUAAAUACCGGCCAGAGACCGAUAGCGCACAAGUAGAGUGAUCGAAAGAUGAAAAGCACUUUGAAAAGAGGGUUAAACAGCACGUGAAAUUGUUGAAAGGGAAGCGCUCAUGACCAGACUUGUGCCCGGCGGAUCAUCCAGCGUUCUCGCUGGUGCACUCCGCCGGGCUCAGGCCAGCAUCGGUUCCGGUGGGGGGAUAAAAGUCGUGGGAAUGUGACUCCUCCGGGAGUGUUAUAGCCUGCUUCAUAAUACCCUCGCCGAGACCGAGGUACGCGCUCCGCAAGGAUGCUGGCGUAAUGGUUAUCAGCGACCCGUCUUGAAACACGGACCAAGGAGUGAAUGUCUUCAGCGAGUGUUUGGGUGU